RNAcentral lists this ribosomal RNA (413 nucleotides) under uncultured bacterium. RNAcentral describes it as "bacterial SSU rRNA". It matches the Rfam family "Bacterial small subunit ribosomal RNA", at positions 8 to 451 of the family's 1533-position model. The record is from RNAcentral.
AGAGUUUGAUCCUGGCUCAGAACGAACGCUGGCGGCAGGCUUAACACAUGCAAGUCGAGCGCCCCGCAAGGGGAGCGGCAGACGGGUGAGUAACGCGUGGGAAUCUACCCAUCUCUACGGAAUAACGCAUGGAAACGUGUGCUAAUACCGUAUACGUCCUUCGGGAGAAAGAUUUAUCGGAGAUGGAUGAGCCCGCGUUGGAUUAGCUAGUUGGUGGGGUAAAGGCCUACCAAGGCGACGAUCCAUAGCUGGUCUGAGAGGAUGAUCAGCCACACUGGGACUGAGACACGGCCCAGACUCCUACGGGAGGCAGCAGUGGGGAAUAUUGGACAAUGGGCGCAAGCCUGAUCCAGCCAUGCCGCGUGAGUGAUGAAGGCCCUAGGGUUGUAAAGCUCUUUCACCGGUGAAGAUAA